RNAcentral lists this ribosomal RNA (117 nucleotides) under Danio rerio (zebrafish). The record is from RNAcentral. Lineage: Eukaryota; Metazoa; Chordata; Actinopteri; Cypriniformes; Danionidae.
CUCCACAGCCAUAUCACCCUGCAGCCCAAGACCGGUUACUCACUGAAGCUAAGCAGGGCUGAGCCUGGUCAGUACCUGGAUGGGAGACCACUAGGGAACACUAGGUUGCUGUUGGAA